GGUUAAGCGACUAAGCGUACACGGUGAAUGCCCUGGCAGUCAGAGGCGAUGAAGGACGUGCUAAUCUGCGAUAAGCGUCGGUAAGGUGAUAUGAACCGUUAUAACCGGCGAUUUCCGAAUGGGGAAACCCAGUGUGAUUCGUCACACUAUCAUUAACUGAAUCCAUAGGUUAAUGAGGCGAACCGGGGGAACUGAAACAUCUAAGUACCCCGAGGAAAAGAAAUCAACCGAGAUUCCCCCAGUAGCGGCGAGCGAACGGGGAGCAGCCCAGAGCCUGAAUCAGUGUGUGUGUUAGUGGAAGCGUCUGGAAAGGCGCGCGAUACAGGGUGACAGCCCCGUACACAAAAAUGCACAUACUGUGAGCUCGAUGAGUAGGGCGGGACACGUGGUAUCCUGUCUGAAUAUGGGGGGACCAUCCUCCAAGGCUAAAUAC
This 433-nucleotide ribosomal RNA is filed under the name Escherichia coli. RNAcentral describes it as "partial 23S ribosomal RNA". It matches the Rfam family "Bacterial large subunit ribosomal RNA", at positions 1 to 473 of the family's 2925-position model. The record is from RNAcentral. Lineage: Bacteria; Pseudomonadati; Pseudomonadota; Gammaproteobacteria; Enterobacterales; Enterobacteriaceae.